GUCCACGCCCUAAACGAUGUCAACUGGUUGUUGGGACGGCUUGCUGUUCAGUAACGAAGCUAACGCGUGAAGUUGACCGCCUGGGGAGUACGGCCGCAAAGGUUGAAAACUCAAAGGAAUUGACGGGGACCCGCACAAGCGGUGGAUGAUGUGGUUUAAUUCGAUGCAACGCGAAAACCUUACCUACCCUUGACAUGUCAAGAAUCUUGCAUAGAUGUGAUAGUGCUCGAAAGAGAACUUGAACACAGGUGCUGCAUGGCCGUCGU
Molecule: ribosomal RNA, 266 nt
Filed under: uncultured bacterium
Lineage: Bacteria
Description: partial 16S ribosomal RNA
Rfam family: Bacterial small subunit ribosomal RNA
Source: RNAcentral